This 72-nucleotide transfer RNA is filed under the name Toxocara canis (dog roundworm). It matches the Rfam family "tRNA". From Rfam's summary of the family: Transfer RNA (tRNA) molecules are approximately 80 nucleotides in length. Lineage: Eukaryota; Metazoa; Nematoda; Chromadorea; Rhabditida; Toxocaridae. The record is from Rfam by way of RNAcentral.
GGGGAUGUAGCUCAGGGGUACAGCGCUCCCUUAGCAUGUGAGAAUUCUGGGGUUCAAUUCCCCAUAACUCCA